GUGACAGAAGAGAGAAAGCACUGAUGGUGUUUUACUUUCUGGCAUACCUCCAUGCUUGAACCUAUCUGUGCUUUACUCUCUAUCUGUCAC
This 90-nucleotide microRNA precursor is filed under the name Genlisea aurea. Its description in RNAcentral is "mir-156 microRNA precursor family". It matches the Rfam family "mir-156 microRNA precursor family". From Rfam's summary of the family: This family represents the plant microRNA (miRNA) precursor mir-156. Animal miRNAs are transcribed as ~70nt precursors and subsequently processed by the Dicer enzyme to give a ~22nt product. Lineage: Eukaryota; Viridiplantae; Streptophyta; Magnoliopsida; Lamiales; Lentibulariaceae. The record is from Rfam by way of RNAcentral.